AUUGAACGCUGGCGGCAUGCCUUACACAUGCAAGUCGAACGGUAACAGGUCUUCGGAUGCUGACGAGUGGCGAACGGGUGAGUAAUACAUCGGAACGUGCCUAGUAGUGGGGGAUAACGGCUCGAAAGAGUGGCUAAUACCGCAUUAGAUCUACGGAUGAAAGCAGGGGAUCGCAAGACCUUGCGCUACUAGAGCGGCCGAUGGCAGAUUAGGUAGUUGGUGGGGUAAAAGCGCACCAAGCCGACGAUCUGUAGCUGGUCUGAGAGGACGAGCAGCCACACUGGGACUGAGACACGGCCCAGACUCCUACGGGAGGCAGCAGUGGGGAAUUUUGGACAAUGGGCGAAAGCCUGAUCCAGCAAUGCCGCGUGCAGGAUGAAGGCCUUCGGGUUGUAAACUGCUUUUGUACGGAACGAAAAGCCCCGGGUUAAUACCCUGGGGUCAUGACGGUACCGUAAGAAUAAGCACCGGCUAACUACGUGCCAGCCGCCGCGGUAA
RNAcentral lists this ribosomal RNA (498 nucleotides) under uncultured bacterium. Its description in RNAcentral is "partial 16S ribosomal RNA". It matches the Rfam family "Bacterial small subunit ribosomal RNA", at positions 30 to 523 of the family's 1533-position model. The record is from RNAcentral.